UACGGAAGGCAGCAGUGGGGAAUAUUGCACAAUGGGCGAAAGCCUGAUGCAGCUAUGCCGCGUGUAUGAAGAAGGCCUUAGGGUUGUAAAGUACUUUCAUCGGGGAGGAAAAACAAAACUAAUAAUUUUAUUUCUUGACGUUACCCGAAAAAGAAGCACCGGCUAACUCCGUGCCAGCAGCCGCGGUAAUACGGAGGGUGCUAGCGUUAAUCAGAAUUACUGGGCGUAAAGAGCACGUAGGUGGUUUUUUUAAGUCAGAUGUGAAAUCCCUGGGCUUAACCUGGAACUGCAUUUUGAAACUGAAAUACUAGAGUAUCGUAGAGGGAGGUAGAAUUCUAGGUGUAGCGGUGAAAUGCGUAGAUAUCUGGAGGAAUACCUGUGGCGAAAGCGGCCUCCUAAACGAAUACUGACACUGAGGUGCGAAAGCGUGGGGAGCGAAACAGGGAUUAGGAUAC
RNAcentral lists this ribosomal RNA (455 nucleotides) under uncultured bacterium. RNAcentral's name for it is "bacterial SSU rRNA". It matches the Rfam family "Bacterial small subunit ribosomal RNA", at positions 340 to 785 of the family's 1533-position model. The record is from RNAcentral.